UGGGGAAUCUUGCGCAAUGGGCGAAAGCCUGACGCAGCGACGCCGCGUGAGGGAAGAAGGCCUUCGGGUUGUAAACCUCUUUCAGCAGGGACGAAGCUACUCGGGUGAACAGCCCAGAGGGUGACGGUACCUGUAGAAGAAGCCCCGGCUAACUACGUGCCAGCAGCCGCGGUAAUACGUAGGGGGCAAGCGUUGUCCGGAUUUACUGGGCGUAAAGAGCGUGUAGGCGGCCAGGCAGGUCUGUUGUGAAAACUGGAGGCUCAACUUCCAGACGUCGACAGAAACCGCUUGGCUAGAGUCCGGAAGAGGAGAGUGGAAUUCCUGGUGUAGCGGUGAAAUGCGCAGAUAUCAGGAAGAACACCAAUGGCGAAGGCAGCUCUCUGGGACGGUACUGACGCUGAGACGCGAAAGCGUGGGGAGCGAACAGGAUUAGAUACCCUGGUAGUCCACGCCGUAAACGAUGGGUGCUAGGUGUGGGAGGUGUCGACUCC
RNAcentral lists this ribosomal RNA (491 nucleotides) under uncultured bacterium. RNAcentral describes it as "bacterial SSU rRNA". It matches the Rfam family "Bacterial small subunit ribosomal RNA", at positions 355 to 838 of the family's 1533-position model. The record is from RNAcentral.